RNAcentral lists this ribosomal RNA (429 nucleotides) under uncultured bacterium. RNAcentral describes it as "bacterial SSU rRNA". It matches the Rfam family "Bacterial small subunit ribosomal RNA", at positions 335 to 755 of the family's 1533-position model. The record is from RNAcentral.
ACUCCUACGGGAGGCAGCAGUGGGGAAUAUUGCACAAUGGGCGCAAGCCUGAUGCAGCCAUGCCGCGUGUAUGAAGAAGGCCUUGGGUUGUAAAGUACUUUCAGCAGUGAGGAAGGACGGGUACGUUAAUAGCGUGCUCGUUUGACGUUAGCUGCAGAAGAAGCACCGGCUAACUCCGUGCCAGCAGCCGCGGUAAUACGGAGGUGCGAGCGUUAAUCGGAAUUACUGGGCGUAAAGCGCAUGCAGGUGGUUGUUAAGUCAGAUGUGAAAGCCCGGGGCUCAACCUCGGAAUUGCAUUUGAAACUGGCAGACUAGAGUACUGUAGAGGGGGUAGGAAUUUCAGGUGUAGCGGUGAAAAUGCGUAGAGAUCUAGAAGGAAUACCGGUGGCGAAAGGCGGCCCCCUGGACAGAUACUGACACUCAGAUGCG